RNAcentral lists this long non-coding RNA (509 nucleotides) under Mytilus galloprovincialis (Mediterranean mussel). Lineage: Eukaryota; Metazoa; Mollusca; Bivalvia; Mytilida; Mytilidae. The record is from RNAcentral.
UUUUUUUUUUUUCAAAUAAGCUGCACUUUAACUAAAGUACUGUAAAAUUUUAGCGAUUUCUGUAAUUUAGUUCUUUUUUUUAUUUCACCUCUAUUUCUCUUAUUAGUUCAACAGAAAAAAAGUACCUUUACACAUAUGUUUGCUUCUUUCGGAGGCAGAUGGUGAGCUUAAAUGAAUGGUGACCCCACUUUUUUUAUUUUAUUUUUCUAUUAAGUAUAUGAUAAAGUUCAUUUAUAGAAAAAUAUAGCGAAAUCCUAGAUUAAAAAAAAAAUUUAUACCCACAAGCCCUCUUAAACAGCUUAUUUCCCAUUAUGCUAUACCAGAUCCUAUAUUAUUGGCAUAGAAUAAGUAUUUCAGUUUAUAUUUUUGAAAAUAUGCUUUUUAACCAACAUUUGGAAAGUGGAAAAUAUAACAGUUUGAGUUUAUACUGUGUGUAUUCUAAAAACUAUGUCUUAACAUGUUGAAAUAUGAAAAUCAUUGUUGGUGUAAAAGAUUUAUUUUGAUAGUGG